Molecule: long non-coding RNA, 802 nt
Filed under: Mytilus galloprovincialis (Mediterranean mussel)
Lineage: Eukaryota; Metazoa; Mollusca; Bivalvia; Mytilida; Mytilidae
Source: RNAcentral
UGCGUUGGAAACAUAAAUUAUAACUAUCACUCUUUAAACUUUGUCUCAUCAAGUACAUUUUGAGAUAAAACAUCUAGUCUUAUGUAGACGAACUCGCCUGGUAUACCAAUUCGUUAGCCGGGUAUCGUUGAUGAUUUUUUUUAAAUUUUCAAUGAAUUCCUUUAAAUAACAUUUACGUUUGUGGUAUCCUAGUAUGUUGUCAUACAUUCAUGAGAGAUGUUCGUUGUUAUUUUGCAGUUUACGUGUUGUAAUGUAUUGUUAUAUUUUUUUUUUUUUUAUUUGUAGUGUUGUCAAUUUAGCGGUAUUUUAAGCCUAUUAAGCGGGAGGUUUGGGUAGCCAUAAAGCCAGGUCAACCACCAUUUUUUUUCUUAAUGUGCCUGUACUAAGUCGGGAAUCUAGAUGUCUUAUCUACAGUCAGUUUCUAUUUAUGUUGGCGUUUGCUUUUGUUGUAGUUCAGUGUUUCUAUUGUUCCGCUGAUGUCCUCUUACAGUUGGUGUGUUUCCCUCGGUUUUAUUGUAUUACCCGGAUAUAUUUUUGUUUAAUCGAAUUGUUACUAUUGAACAGCGGUUAAUACUGUUGUCUUUAUUUAUAUAUACAUAUAUCUAAUCAAAUAAAAAAAAAUUUUAAACACGUACAUUCAUUAUCAAUUGAUCCAACAAAAAAAAAUAGACAUGCUGACAUAACAUAUGACAAUAGAAAUAAAUAGAUUGAGAAAUGAGAAUCAAAUUAUGAUAGAAUCUUAAGUUUCAUAAUCCCACUUGUGAUUUUUGCAUUAUUGCUUUUUCUACCUGCUCGACGAAAC